UUUUAAAUAAAGAAGAGUUUGUAGUGGAUGCCUUGGGUCUGGAAGUCGAAGAAGGACGUGAUUACCUGCGAUAAGCCUCGUUUAGUUGGAUAUAAACUUUGAGACGGGGAUUUCCGAAUGGGGAAACCUAAUUGAGCUAAUCCUCAAUUAUCAUAUCGAUGAAUACAUAGUCGAAUGAAGAGACACGCUGUGAAUUGAAACAUCUCAGUAGCAGCAGGGAGAGAAAAUAAAGAAUGAUACCCAC
Molecule: ribosomal RNA, 244 nt
Filed under: Klebsiella pneumoniae
Lineage: Bacteria; Pseudomonadati; Pseudomonadota; Gammaproteobacteria; Enterobacterales; Enterobacteriaceae
Description: partial 23S ribosomal RNA
Rfam family: Bacterial large subunit ribosomal RNA
Source: RNAcentral